This 949-nucleotide unclassified non-coding RNA is filed under the name Hevea brasiliensis (rubber tree). The record is from RNAcentral. Lineage: Eukaryota; Viridiplantae; Streptophyta; Magnoliopsida; Malpighiales; Euphorbiaceae.
GGCGAAGGAAACGGCCGCCGGAGUUAGUCAUGGGGUUUUGCUUCUGAGUAGCAAUGGCAUGGAUAUUGUAUAUACGGGUGAUAGAAUUAUUUACAAGGUAAUUGAAGGGUUAAUUGAUUUGUAUUUCUUCGCCGGACCUUCGCCGGAAAUGGUGGUGGAUCAGUAUACUCAGCUUAUUGGUCGUCCUGCUGCUAUGCCAUAUUGGUCUUUCGGAUUUCACCAAUGCCGGUGGGGUUACAAGAAUAUUGAUGAUGUUGAACUGGUAGUGGAAAGUUAUGCAAAGGCUAGGAUACCGCUGGAGGUUAUGUGGACUGAUAUUGAUUACAUGGAUGGUUUUAAGGACUUCACACUCGAUCCAGUUAACUUCCCACUGGAGCGGUUAAAUUUUUUUCUCAGGAAGCUUCAUCAGAAUGAUCAGAAAUAUGUACUAAUAGUAGAUCCAGGAAUUAGUAUCAACAAUACAUAUGACACCUAUAGGAGAGGCAUGGAAGCAGAUGUCUUCAUAAAACGCGAUAAUAUGCCCUACCAAGGGGUUGUUUGGCCAGGGAAUGUUUACUAUCCUGAUUUUCUAAAUCCAGCUACUGAAGUAUUUUGGAGAAAUGAAAUUGAGAAGUUCCAGGAUCUCGUACCUUUUGAUGGCCUGUGGCUUGACAUGAAUGAAUUGUCAAACUUCAUUACUUCCCCUCCUACACCAUCAUCCACCUUUGAUGACCCUCCGUACAAGAUAAACAACUCUGGCGAUCACUUGCCCAUCAACUAUAGAACAGUUCCAGCCACUUCAACACAUUUUGGUAAUACAAUAGAUUAUAAUGUCCAUAACCUUUAUGGAUUACUAGAAUCUAGAGCCACCUAUAGUGCUUUGGUUAAUGUCACUGGUAAAAGGCCAUUCAUUCUUGCAAGAUCAACUUUUCUUGGCUCUGGCAGAUAUACGUCACAUUGGACUGGAGAC